RNAcentral lists this long non-coding RNA (201 nucleotides) under Mustela putorius furo (domestic ferret). RNAcentral's name for it is "lncRNA (ENSMPUG00000026120.1)". The record is from RNAcentral. Lineage: Eukaryota; Metazoa; Chordata; Mammalia; Carnivora; Mustelidae.
GAAGAAUCUACUGGGGUUGUUCUCCCCUUGCCCUGGGGAAUCCAGUGAGGCCCAGCUAGGGGAAGCCGGAACACGAUGGCUUCUGCUCUGUCUAGGCCUGAGGACACACUCUCCAACCUGAGCCAGACUGCCAGGGAAACUCAUAAGGGCUUCCUGCAGGAGGUAAUACCUUAACUGGGUCUCUGAAGCCUGUAGAAAUUA